This 903-nucleotide long non-coding RNA is filed under the name Homo sapiens (human). RNAcentral's name for it is "HSALNT0314530". The record is from RNAcentral. Lineage: Eukaryota; Metazoa; Chordata; Mammalia; Primates; Hominidae.
GAGCCAGCGGAGAGAGAGGCGUGGAGGCCGGUGCCUGCGGGUGAGUAGCCUGAGGCCAGAGAGCAGUAGGAACCUGUGGCCUCCCAACCCUUGUCUUCUCCUGCAAAGAACAGAGGAUUGGGAUUCACGCCAGAAGGUACAGAAAUGGCCAACACAGACGAGAUGCCUCAAGUCUAGGUUAUGCGCAUGGAAUCACAUGGUAUCAUUCCUCAUUUCUGGAGUAAAAGGCAAGAAUACUGACAACAAGCAGUGCCGGGCAGCUGUGGGACAGGUGGAGCCCCCAUGGACCCUGCUUCUGGCGUGCAGUUUGUCAAUAUGACACUCAAAAUUCUGCGGAAGCUUUGAUCCAGUGACUUACCUCGAAUAAUUUAUCUUCAUUUUUUAAAAUUUAUUUAUUUAUUGAGACAGGGUCUCGCUCUGCCACCCAGGCUGGAGUGCAGUAGCACGAUCGCAGCUCACUGCAGCCUUGACCUCCGGACUCAAGCAAUCCUCCUGCCUCAGCAUCCCUCAAAUAGUGCAACCACAGGUGUGCACCAACACACCCAGCUACUUUUUAAAUUUUUUUGGAAAGAUGGGGUCUCACUAUGUUGCCCAGGCUGAAUUUAUCUUUAAAGGGCACGAAUAAGAUGAGUGGACAAAGAAGACCCAGUUAUGUCAUGGGGAAACCUGGAAGCCACCCCAAGAGCACAGCUUUGCAAGUGGAUGAGAGUUCCAAUCUCAGCCCAGCUGUGUGAUUCUGGGCAACUGUCCUAACCUCUCUGAACUUCAGUUUCCUCAUCUGUAAGGUGGGAAUAAUGGCAAUACCCAACCCCUCCAGGGCCGUCUGAGGAAGACAUAAGACUACAUGGGUAGAAUGCUUACCUUUAGGCACACAAGAGACAAUUUAUAUAAAGGAAAAAGUUG